AUGCGGUUCAGCUGCAUCUGCAAUGCGUGGCAGUCCACCAUGUGCCGUGACGCGUCCUUCCACCGCGCACACCUCCGCCGUCAGAAGCCAUGUCUGCUCGUCUCGCCGCACACGCUGUACGACGGUCACCGGCCCAUGGACAAGGUCGGCCUGUACAGGUGGGAGGCGAACCAGCAGUGCACCACCGUGCGACUCAUGCACGACAUGGACUUGACCUCCGACUACCUGAUGCACGAUUUCGCUCAUUGCGAUGGGCUGGUCCUGCUGCCCGUCGGGUCCACCACGUACGUGCUCAACCCGGCCACACGCCGCACCCUGAACCAUCCCCUGGGCCGUGGCGCCGACCCGCCACGGCGAAAGCCCCUCAGCUUCGAGAUGUGCCACCAGGCGUUUGGCCUUGGGCACGACCCACGUUCUGCCGCCUACAAGGUGGCACGCUUCUCCUACCCCUCUUUGCACCUGCUUAUGGGGGCGUGCAGCUACCGCUCCAUCAUGAUGGAAGUGUUCACCAUUGGGACUGAUCAGCACUGGCGUGAGUCAGUCACGCGACCGCCAUACCCUGUCCUGGCACAAAGAACAGCGACCUUCUUCAAGGGGUCCCUCAUCUGGGCCAUCGACGAGCUCACGAGCGUAACCUCGGGAAGGCCGCGCCAGGUUUCCUCCGUUUCAGCUUGGGAGACGAUGUUGGAAUACACCCGGUUCAGUUUAUCCGAGCUGCACGGGGAGUUGUGCUUGACCUGUGAAGGGGCCAACAUCAAUUCAGUUGAGUUGUGGAUGUGCAACAGCGUUGAGAAGCCGAGAUGGGAUCGACGUUACACAAUCGCUGUUCUCAUGUUCAGGCCCCCUGAACUAUGUCCAAUUGCCACAAUUGAUGACGAGAUUGUGUUCAAGGAACGGGUGUCUUAUACGAGACGCUACAAUCUCAAAACCAAAGCUUACAAGGAUCGGUUCUGCAUGGAAAACUAG
This 966-nucleotide ribosomal RNA is filed under the name Triticum aestivum (bread wheat). Its description in RNAcentral is "partial small subunit ribosomal RNA". The record is from RNAcentral. Lineage: Eukaryota; Viridiplantae; Streptophyta; Magnoliopsida; Poales; Poaceae.